GACGAACCGAGCGAACGUUGUUCGGAAUCACUGGGCUUAAAGGGCGCGUAGGCGGGCGAUCAAGUCGGUGGUGAAAUCCUGCAGCUUAACUGCAGAACUGCCUCCGAUACUGGUUGUCUCGAGGAAGGUAGUGGCGUACGGAACAGUUGGUGGAGCGGUGAAAUGCGUUGAUAUCAACUGGAACUCCGGUGGCGAAGGCGGUACGCUGGACCUUUUCUGACGCUGAGGCGCGAAAGCCAGGGGAGCAAACGGG
RNAcentral lists this ribosomal RNA (253 nucleotides) under uncultured bacterium. RNAcentral describes it as "partial 16S ribosomal RNA". It matches the Rfam family "Bacterial small subunit ribosomal RNA", at positions 524 to 776 of the family's 1533-position model. The record is from RNAcentral.